AAUAAGUGCAGUUUUGUACUAUUCAUGUUCAAUAUUUGACUGUUCGUCUUGUUUGAAAAAAUUUUAUGAUUAGUAUUUUUAUUGUUAUUAGAUGAUAAAACAUGAAUAGUACUUUAUGUGUGACUAAAUAUUUUCAAAUUUUUUAAAUAAGACGGACGGUCAAACGUUGGGCACAGAUAUCCACGGCUGCACUUAUU
Oryza sativa Japonica Group (Japanese rice) is the source of this 197-nucleotide microRNA precursor. It matches the Rfam family "MIR812 microRNA precursor family". NCBI's taxonomy places the organism in Eukaryota, Viridiplantae, Streptophyta, Magnoliopsida, Poales, Poaceae. The record is from Rfam.